RNAcentral lists this ribosomal RNA (254 nucleotides) under uncultured bacterium. RNAcentral's name for it is "partial 16S ribosomal RNA". It matches the Rfam family "Bacterial small subunit ribosomal RNA", at positions 524 to 776 of the family's 1533-position model. The record is from RNAcentral.
UACAGAGGGUGCGAGCGUUGUCCGGAAUUACUGGGCGUAAAGAGCUCGUAGGUGGUUUGUCGCGUUGUUCGUGAAAACUCACAGCUUAACUGUGGGCGUGCGGGCGAUACGGGCGAACUGGAGUACUGCAGGGGAGACUGGAAUUCCUGGUGUAGCGGUGGAAAUGCGCAGAUAUCAGGAGGAACACCGGUGGCGAAGGCGGGUCUCUGGGCAGUAACUGACGCUGAGGAGCGAAAGCGUGGGGAGCGAACAGG